UUGUGGAGCGAUUUGUCUGGUCAAUUCCGAUAACAAACGAGACUAGCCUACUAAAUAGUUCGGGGACCCCUAAAAGGGGCCCCGCUUAGAGGGACAGGUGGCGUUUAGCCACACGAGUUUGAGCAAUAACA
Molecule: ribosomal RNA, 131 nt
Filed under: uncultured eukaryote
Lineage: Eukaryota
Description: partial 18S ribosomal RNA
Rfam family: Eukaryotic small subunit ribosomal RNA
Source: RNAcentral